UGAAAAAAUCAAGUGUUUUUAAUAUUACUCCAUUAUCAAAUGUCAAUGCAAAAAUAAAUGUAUCCCUCUGCAGUAAUUAAUUGUUGGCUGAGCGGUAGACACUUAAGCCCUUUGCCUAUCCACAUGGUUUUGGUCCUUUCCACGCUGCUGAUGCCUUUGAAAUUUCGAAUAUUAACAUUUGUAAAACCUUUAAAAAAAAAAAUCAAACAUCUGGAAGACUUUGGUGGGCUGCGAGUUACGGAUUGGGUGGAAAAGUUGGGCACAUGAUGUCUCGUGGAGUCACGUGAUAGGGCCUGUAAAUGGCAGAAAGAGG
Molecule: long non-coding RNA, 313 nt
Filed under: Manihot esculenta (cassava)
Lineage: Eukaryota; Viridiplantae; Streptophyta; Magnoliopsida; Malpighiales; Euphorbiaceae
Description: long non-coding RNA (MESC_LNC006507)
Source: RNAcentral